CCUACGGGAGGCAGCAGUGGGGAAUAUUGGACAAUGGGGGGAACCCUGAUCCAGCCAUGCCGCGUGUGUGAAGAAGGCCCUCGGGUUGUAAAGCACUUUCAGUGAGGAAGAACGCCUGGUGGUUAAUACCCAUCAGGAAAGACAUCACUCACAGAAGAAGCACCGGCUAACUCCGUGCCAGCAGCCGCGGUAAUACGGAGGGUGCGAGCGUUAAUCGGAAUUACUGGGCGUAAAGCGCGCGUAGGUGGCUUGAUAAGCCGGUUGUGAAAGCCCCGGGCUCAACCUGGGAACGGCAUCCGGAACUGUCAAGCUAGAGUGCAGGAGAGGAAGGUAGAAUUCCCGGUGUAGCGGUGAAAUGCGUAGAGAUCGGGAGGAAUACCAGUGGCGAAGGCGGCCUUCUGGACUGACACUGACACUGAGGUGCGAAAGCGUGGGUAGCAAACAGGAUUAGAUAACCUAGUAGUC
Molecule: ribosomal RNA, 465 nt
Filed under: Vreelandella stevensii
Lineage: Bacteria; Pseudomonadati; Pseudomonadota; Gammaproteobacteria; Oceanospirillales; Halomonadaceae
Description: partial 16S ribosomal RNA
Rfam family: Bacterial small subunit ribosomal RNA
Source: RNAcentral